GUGUGACAAUUUAUACGGAAGAAUCAGAUGGCUUUCUGGGUUGUGGAAAUUUCUGCCACCUCCUGCUACCAUAUUGGAACUGGCAGGAUUUCUGGAAUUAUCAGGUUCCACCCGGUGCUUAGAGGGUUAAGCUUGGAUUCCUGGAUUUUAUGACUUUUAAGAAAUGUACCUGGAUCCCUCAACACUGCUCUUGGAUCACUGGAAGGGUCCCAGAUCUCAGUCUCUGG
Molecule: long non-coding RNA, 227 nt
Organism: Lagenorhynchus albirostris (white-beaked dolphin)
Lineage: Eukaryota; Metazoa; Chordata; Mammalia; Artiodactyla; Delphinidae
Exons: 3
Source: RefSeq, a predicted model, not a curated record